Molecule: ribosomal RNA, 475 nt
Filed under: uncultured bacterium
Lineage: Bacteria
Description: bacterial SSU rRNA
Rfam family: Bacterial small subunit ribosomal RNA
Source: RNAcentral
UUCGCAAUGCCCGAAAGGGUGAACGAGCGACGCCGCGUGCGGGAUGAAGGGUUUCGGGUUGUAAAGCCCUGUCACCUGGGAAGAAUGGCGGGAGGUGAAUAACCAUCUCGUCUGACGCUACCAGGGGAGGAAGCACCGGCUAAAUACGUGCCAGCAGCCGCGGUAAUACGUAUGGUGCGAACGUUGUUCGGAAUCACUGGGCAUAAAGAGCACGUAGGCGGUUGAGCAAGUCCGUUGUGAAAUCCCCCGGCUUAACCGGGGAACUGCAGCGGAUACUACUUGACUUGAGUGCAGGAGGGGAGAGUGGAAUUCCAGGUGGAGCGGUGAAAUGCGUAGAUAUCUGGAGGAACGCCGGUGGCGAAAGCGACUCUCUGGUCUGUUACUGACGCUGAGGUGCGAAAGCUAGGGGAGCAAACGGGAUUAGAUACCCCGGUAGUCCUAGCCCUAAACGAUGGGCACUAAGUAGAGGGGUUUU